This 801-nucleotide unclassified non-coding RNA is filed under the name Hevea brasiliensis (rubber tree). Lineage: Eukaryota; Viridiplantae; Streptophyta; Magnoliopsida; Malpighiales; Euphorbiaceae. The record is from RNAcentral.
AUUUAGCGCAAAAUCUAAUUAGUUACAAAUUCAAUUAUUUAUUAUCCAAAAUUGAUCUAAUAUGAUUCAGACAGAACCAACACUACUUCUUGAAAAGGAAAAGUUUUUUAAAAAUAAAAUAAAAUCACACCCUAGCCGAUGAAUCCUGCACAAGAGGAAGCAACUCCCCUGAAGCACCAACACCAACACCACCAGAGCUCUUCUCCUCAACAGAGAAGUCCUCUCUAACCCACAAAACAGCAUGAACCAAAACCACAGGCAAAGAACCCGCUAACGAUACAAGAAGAUGAAUACCAGCAUGGGUAAGGACGAGCUCAACCAUAGACGCAACAACUAUCACAGAAAGCACCACUCUUUUGUCCAAAAUCUUAUGAACAAUGUUAGAACUUGGUACCGCACGUAACAAUAACAGGAACAGAGAUCCCACAUAGGUCAUGAUCACCAGUAAUAUCAGAGAUACUUUUCUCUUUGGAAUUAGGCUAAUAAACAGUAUAAUCCAAACAAAAUGAGUGUAAUAUAGUGCAAAAUGGUUCAGGUUUCUGAUGAUUCUUAGAACAGCUGCUUCUGGGCUUGAAGGGAUUUUGAAGGGACAUACCAGUUUGAAUUCUGCAAACUUGAAGUCGUUCCAGUUUGUUCCGAUUGUUGAAGAUAUCGGCUCACCGGGAUCAACCAUCGAGGCAGAUCUUGUGGUGGCGCUUGGCCUCUGAAUUGCUCCAUUGCUAGCCAUGUUUCUUGAUUAGAGAGAGAGCAUCCAAAAUUUUGAAAGCAUGUGCUCUUGGAUAAAGGUUGCCAAGUAUGAAU